Molecule: ribosomal RNA, 1257 nt
Filed under: metagenome
Description: bacterial SSU rRNA
Rfam family: Bacterial small subunit ribosomal RNA
Source: RNAcentral
GCUGGUUGGUGAGGUAACGGCCCACCAAGGCGACGAUCAGUAGCCGGCCUGGGAGGGUGAACGGCCACAUUGGGACUGAGACACGGCCCAAACUCCUACGGGAGGCAGCAGUGGGGAAUAUUGCACAAUGGGAGAAACCCUGAUGCAGCAACGCCGCGUGAGUGAAGAAGUAUUUCGGUAUGUAAAGCUCUAUCAGCAGGAAAGAAAAUGACGGUACCUGACUAAGAAGCCCCGGCUAACUACGUGCCAGCAGCCGCGGUAAUACGUGGGGGGCAAGCGUUAUCCGGAUUUACUGGGUGUAAAGGGAGCGUAGACGGUUUUGCAAGUCUGAAGUGAAAGCCCGGGGCUUAACCCCGGGACUGCUUUGGAAACUGUAGGACUAGAGUGCAGGAGAGGUAAGUGGAAUUCCUAGUGUAGCGGUGAAAUGCGUAGAUAUUAGGAGGAACACCAGUGGCGAAGGCGGCUUACUGGACUGUAACUGACGUUGAGGCUCGAAAGCGUGGGGAGCAAACAGGAUUAGAUACCCUGGUAGUCCACGCCGUAAACGAUGAUUACUAGGUGUUGGUGGGUAUGACCCAUCGGUGCCGCAGCAAACGCAAUAAGUAAUCCACCUGGGGAGUACGUUCGCAAGAAUGAAACUCAAAGGAAUUUACGGGGACCCGCACAAGCGGUGGAGCAUGUGGUUUAAUUCGAAGCAACGCGAAGAACCUUACCUGGUCUUGACAUCCCUAUGAAUAACGGGCAAUGCCGUUAGUACUUCGGUACAUAGGAGACAGGUGGUGCAUGGUUGUCGUCAGCUCGUGUCGUGAGAUGUUGGGUUAAGUCCCGCAACGAGCGCAACCCUUAUCUUUAGUAGCCAGCAGUAAGAUGGGCACUCUAGAGAGACUGCCGGGGAUAACCCGGAGGAAGGUGGGGAUGACGUCAAAUCAUCAUGCCCCUUAUGACCAGGGCUACACACGUGCUACAAUGGCGUAAACAAAGAGAAGCGAAGUCGUGAGGCAGAGCGAAUCUCAAAAAUAACGUCUCAGUUCGGAUUGUAGUCUGCAACUCGACUACAUGAAGCUGGAAUCGCUAGUAAUCGCAGAUCAGAAUGCUGCGGUGAAUACGUUCCCGGGUCUUGUACACACCGCCCGUCACACCAUGGGAGUCGGAAAUGCCCGAAGUCGGUGACCUAACCGAAAGGAGGGAGCCGCCGAAGGCAGGUCUGAUAACUGGGGUGAAGUCGUAACAAGGUAGCCGUACUAGUACGGGGUGCGG